GACGAACCGAGCGAACGUUGUUCGGAAUCACUGGGCGUAAAGGGCGCGUAGGCGGCGCAACAAGUCACUUGUGAAAUCUCCGGGCUUAACCCGGAGCGGCCAAGUGAUACUGUCGUGCUAGAGUGCGGAAGGGGCUACUGGAAUUCUCGGUGUAGCGGUGAAAUGCGUAGAUAUCGAGAGGAACACCUGCGGCGAAGGCGGGUAGCUGGGCCGACACUGACGCUGAGGCGCGAAAGCCAGGGGAGCGAACGGG
RNAcentral lists this ribosomal RNA (253 nucleotides) under uncultured bacterium. Its description in RNAcentral is "partial 16S ribosomal RNA". It matches the Rfam family "Bacterial small subunit ribosomal RNA", at positions 524 to 776 of the family's 1533-position model. The record is from RNAcentral.